Molecule: transfer RNA, 51 nt
Filed under: Nertera granadensis (bead plant)
Lineage: Eukaryota; Viridiplantae; Streptophyta; Magnoliopsida; Gentianales; Rubiaceae
Description: partial tRNA-Leu
Source: RNAcentral
AAAAAUCCGUCGACUUUUAAAAUCGUGAGGGUUCAAGUCCCUCUAUCCCCA